RNAcentral lists this small nucleolar RNA (74 nucleotides) under Clytia hemisphaerica. Its description in RNAcentral is "small nucleolar RNA SNORD24". It matches the Rfam family "Small nucleolar RNA SNORD24". From Rfam's summary of the family: U24 is a member of the C/D class of snoRNA which contain the C (UGAUGA) and D (CUGA) box motifs. C/D box snoRNAs have been shown to act as methylation guides for a number of RNA targets. The record is from Rfam by way of RNAcentral. Lineage: Eukaryota; Metazoa; Cnidaria; Hydrozoa; Leptothecata; Clytiidae.
CUUCGAUGAUGUUAUCUUAUAUUUGCUACUCUCGACAGCUUGGAUGACGAUUAACCACCAAGAUCUCUGAGAAG